GAUGAAGAACGCAGCGAAAUGCGAUAAGUAGUGUGAAUUGCAGAAUUCAGUGAAUCAUCGAAUCUUUGAACGCACAUUGCGCUUCCUGGUAUUCCGGGGAGCAUGCCCGUUUCAGAAUCAUAGAAAAUCUCAUGUUGCUCCUAGCGACGCAUAGCCUAGCGAUGCAUAGAUUUGCAAUGCUGGAGUAGCAUGGACGUUGGAUGUUUUGUCGAAUGUAGGCAAUCAUCUUUAAAUGAACAUGUGUGCCGCAAUCUCUGUGUCGGUUGCGAUCAAAGUGCAACAGCUAGUUCUAUUCUCUUUGAUCGAGCGAUGGACCAGAAUUCUGGACACCAUACCUAAACACAGCUGAGGGUGCUCUGGCAUCAGUGGCUGAUAACUUGGUCUGAAAUCGGGCAAGAAAACCCGCUGAACUUAAGCAUAUCAAUAAGCGGAGGA
RNAcentral lists this unclassified non-coding RNA (435 nucleotides) under soil metagenome. RNAcentral describes it as "partial contains 5.8S ribosomal RNA, internal transcribed spacer 2, and large subunit ribosomal RNA". The stretch from base 1 to 120 matches the Rfam family "5.8S ribosomal RNA", at positions 35 to 154 of the family's 154-position model. The record is from RNAcentral.